UACGUAGGGUGCGAGCGUUAAUCGGAAUUACUGGGCGUAAAGCGUGCGCAGGCGGCGCCGCAAGUCAGGCGUGAAAUCCCCGAGCUUAACUUGGGAAUGGCGCUUGAAACUACGGUGCUGGAGUGUGGCAGAGGGAGGUGGAAUUCCACGUGUAGCGGUGAAAUGCGUAGAGAUGUGGAGGAACACCGGUGGCGAAGGCGGUUCUCUGGGCAUGUCCUGACGCUGAGGAGCGAAAGUGUGGGGAGCGAACAGG
RNAcentral lists this ribosomal RNA (253 nucleotides) under uncultured bacterium. RNAcentral describes it as "partial 16S ribosomal RNA". It matches the Rfam family "Bacterial small subunit ribosomal RNA", at positions 524 to 776 of the family's 1533-position model. The record is from RNAcentral.